Molecule: long non-coding RNA, 4948 nt
Filed under: Capsicum annuum
Lineage: Eukaryota; Viridiplantae; Streptophyta; Magnoliopsida; Solanales; Solanaceae
Description: long non-coding RNA (CANN_LNC022237)
Source: RNAcentral
CUGACUGGGUGCUUUUAAAUGCGAAUUGGAAUUAGUCGGAUCAACCAUUUUCAGUGUAUGCUUUUGUAAAUGAAAAUGAGAACUUCUCUAAUAAGGAGUUUUUAGUUUUUUACCCCUUUUAUUGGGCGUUUUGAAUGGCAAAUUCAAAUUAGUCGAAUCUAACAAAUUUCAAUGUGACAUGUAAAUGAAAAUUGGAUGACUAGUCUUUAGCCCUCUUUAGUAACAUUUCUCAAUGCAAGCUGUUAGUAAACUGAACAAAUUGAUUUUAUUAAAGAAAGGCCAAGAAUUCAGUUUACAAUUCUUCUAAUUCUGCUAAAAACUAUAAGCAUAACUAAUCUGCCAUGUUCUCACAAUUGAGCAAAAGAUGGUCUGGAAUGUUAGUACAGGAAGACGACUAGCGGCCAAAUGGAAGUACAUAUACGGCCUGCUAAAACCCAUCGAAAAAGACUAAGCAGGAAUUUUGAGACAUAAACGUGUGUACCACCAUCGAUUACAAUAAUGAAACUAUAAAGUACCUGUUCUUUUCUAAGAACUAGAAAAGACACAUGUUUCAGCUCCUCUUCAAAAUUAUCCAAUUUCUUCCAUAAAGCAAUUCAGUAUCCAAUUCUUCUAGAUAUUCACUUUCAUCAAAUACUAUUGUUUUAUUUGAAAUUAGUCGUGAAAUUAGUCGACGGGCAUGAAAGCUAAUUCAAACACUAUGAUUCUUAGAAAAAAAAACUACUUACUAUUUGACAAAAGUACAUACUCUAGUCCACCACUUGACAAAUAUAUAAACCUUAUCAACUUUGUUGGAAAAUUUUAACCAAAUGGCUUCUUCUUCAACCAUCCUUCUACUCCACCAUAUCCAUUUUCUUCCUUCACUUCAUCCAAUUUCCUCCAUAAAACACUUCACUAUCAAAUGCACUCGAAACUCAUCAGACCAAGAAUUCCUCACCCCUUCACCAGACUCAGAAACAACAAUCAGCCCAGACAAAUUCCCUAUAGAAAAACGACGAAAAUCCGAAAUAAUCCGUGAAAGAAAAUCAAGAACUGAUGGGCUAACAAAACAAGAACCACCAAACUUUGAGAUUGGUUGGAAGAGAACAAAGCAAAUUCCAUUAGAGAAACGUAUAGGGUACAUGGUAAUGGAUUUUUUGCAGAAGUUGGAAGAGUUAAUGGGGAGGGAAUUUGGGUCUACUGCAUUGUUGGUUAAAGUGGGAGAGAUAGUUGUAGCAAGAGUUACAGAAGAAGUUGAAGUGUUGAAAGAAGAAGGGAAAGUGGAAGACAGAAUGGUGAUGGAAUUGUAUAGAGUAUUGAAGUUGAUGGAAAUGGAUUUGGCUAUGGUGAAUGCUGCUGUGAAAGAAGAGACAUUGAAUGAAAGACUUGAACAUGCUAAGGCACGUUGUAGGCAAGCUAUUCUUGUUGCUAAUUCUUUCUGAGAGCUUCUGGCGUAACUAGCUUUAUUGCAUUCAUUAAUAAAAAAACUACCGCUACGAACUAGAGCGGCCCAUAUAGUCAGGCAGAAGCAAGGCGCCGGCGCUUUGCGAGGUCCUUACAUCCCUCCGCAAGCAUAAGUAGAGUCUCUGACUUCAAUAGCCAGUCUUGUACCCUCUCUUUUCUUCGGGAAAUCGAGUUAGCUGGGCUGGUUCCCUGUCACGAUCUCAGGAAAAUGAAAAUCAAUUCUCAAAGAUCCAUAAACAAAUCAGUGCUAGCUCCAUUUCCAAUCCACCAUUUUGCCAUUUUUUCAUCUGUGAAUUGUUAAUCAACCCAUCGGUACACUCUAUGCGAUCGAAUAUUUCUUACACACAUGAGUUUUAUGAGGGCUAUUAUGUCUAAGAAUCUUCCAUUGUCGUAUAGUUUACAGGAAGAUCAGCUGUAGAGGAAAACCUAUAGUCAAACUGAGAAUCGCAGCCGAAGUUACUCUAUUAUGAGACCUCCUUUGUCGCAAUAGAAAUCGAGAAUGGAGGUGACUUCGCUACACUUGUUUAUAGUUGGAAAUUUCAGUUUUCGACCCGAAAAGCUCCACAGAGCUGUCGUAUGCGGGUACUACGAGGCCCACGACUUUCUUGAUCGCCUCAUUCGGGUUAAGAUGUGGCUAAAGUCUCGGUAAAAUUGCUUGUCAUGCGACAAGGAGUAACCGGUAAAGUUGUUGUCAUGCGAUGAGGAGUACAUGAGUUCAAAGCUUGGAAAUAGGUUCUUACCAUGAUACAACAGGUUAAGACAGUGGAGGAUAGAUUUUUAUGGUCCGGUUCUUUAAAUCUCACGUAUAGAGAGAGCUUUAGUAGUAAAGGCCCAAAAUCAUACAUUAUUUUGCCUUAGACACAACAUAAUACAUAUUCUUUCAACUAGAGCACUUAUAGUCCUUUUUAUUUAGUUAAGUGGUCCAUUUUUAGUCAUAAUCCUAACACCAUUAAUCUUUUUAACAGCAGUCAAAUCACCUUUCUAUCACACUAUUUUUUUCCUCCAAAAAAAAAACCUCACCUGCAAAAUGUUGCUGACAAUGGCUUAAAUCAGUUUGAGUCUUGAGAUUUUUUGUGUCACUAGUCAUUGUGAUUUAGUCAUAAGGGCAUAAUUUUUUGGGAAUCUCUUGUGUUCAUGGACUGAAUGCACAGCCAAUGAGGGAGGAAAAAAUAUAUUCCAAUAAACACAAGAACUCCGAGAUCAGCCUCUUCACCAACAACUGGCCGACGAGGACGAACCAAGUAUAUUUGGGUUGCACACCAUAAGCAAUAUAAGGAAGCAAUUACCAACAUCAGCUUGACAAAGUUGAUAACUCAUAACUUGAGCAGUUUCAGUGGCUUCACUCUACAAGAUAGUUGCGACCCAAAAAUGAUACGUUAACGACAGAGCAAGCAACUGAAAUGAAAGUAAAAUAUCAUUGACUAAUCCAUCAGUAAACACCUGCUGAUGUAAAUAAAGUCAGCUAUCAAGCAACAACAUAAAACGCAAAUCAUAACAACAUCUGGAUUUAUUGGUGCACGACCUUCCAACCAACCUGUGCUCAAUAUCCAAGUGUAUUGAGGGAACAUCUUUUGAUUUAUACACGUUUUGACUUCUUUUAUUCUCUAUUCCUAGUCCUUUCACUCUUCAAUCUGUCAAACGUCCUCAUCUUUAGAAACGAGUUCUUUUGCUCUUCAUUCUGUCAAACGUCUUUGCAUAUCUGGUAUGUAUUUUGAUCCAUUCGAGUUGAUUUCAUCUGCUCUUUUCUUGAUAAGAAGCUCCCUAAAUUUGUUGUAUAUGGAUAUUCAAGUUCUUAGUUAUUUGACUCUUUUCUUUCUCUAUUGUGCAAGUUAUUUGUGGUUUUCUUGGCGGAGACAAGAAAAUGCUUAGACUAAAUUGCAACUUUCUGCUAGGAUAAUGCUUAUUGUUUACGCAUAGGAGGUCAUCACUGUUUUCUUGUUAGACAAAACAUUUUGUGAAGUUAAUUAGUGAACUUUGUAUGUCUUACUCAUUUUUAUACUUAAUAAAGUCGAAAAGUUGUUCAUUGUUAAUGUUUUAGGUGGCAACCUUUUACGAUUAUGUAACUAUCCCAAAAUCUCUUCAAGUGGGACGUCUCGUAAAUGUGACAUUUAAUCACCUCAAAGAAGUUAACUCGGAAGGUUUUGUAGUCUAAGAGCCUGAGUUGCAGCGUAUAAUGCUUCUUUUAGCCAAAAUCUUCGAUGCUAAUGAAAAUUCUAACCAACCUCUACUGACCUGUUGAAGAUUCUGGAAUCACCUAACGUAGAAGUUGAUGUCAUCUUUGAUCUUCAUGAGUCUUAUCAACCAUGAAAUUAAUAGAUUGAAACAAUUAUUGAUGCAGUGAUACAGAGAAGUCUGAAUUGUUGAUGCAGCGUCGAUGCCUCAAGGCUUAUUUGAUGUGUUUUUGCAUUGAUUUCCUUUGUUUAAUGGUGCUCGUAUUUAUCUGAUAUGAAGAUGAGAAGGCUUUUGUUAAAAAAAUUAACGGUGUUAGGAUUGUGUAUAAAAAUGCACCACUUUUUAAACAAAAAGGACUAUUAGUGCACCAGUUGAAAGAAUAUGUAUUAUUUUGUGUCUAAAGUAAAAAAUAAUGUAUAAUUUUGGGCCUUUACUCGUUUUUUUGCUUGUAAAAGCUCAAGCCUUUUUAAGAUCUUUUAAAAUUUCUAGUCGCAUUUGUAGUGUAUUUGAGUGUAUCUUUCGUUACCAACUUGGGUUGUGAUGGGGUGAUACCUCCAUUCUUGUUUGGAGGUUUUAGGUUUGAGUCUCAAGAAAUGAUUUGAAUUUAAUCAGGUUCCAUUGCAAGUAUCGAACACAAGAUGAAAAUUUAAUCAGGUUCCAUUGCAAGUAUCGAACACAAGAUGAAAAAAGAAAUGUAUCUUUCAUUGUGAUUGAGGGAAUGAUGGGAUAGUUGGAUAUCAUUAGUUUGAAUUUGAAUCCUCUAAAUGAAAACGGAAAUAAAAAUCUUUGCUAUUCGUCUGACUGGGUGCUUUUAAAUGCGAAUUGGAAUUAGUCGGAUCAACCAUUUUCAGUGUAUGCUUUUGUAAAUGAAAAUGAGAACUUCUCUAAUAAGGAGUUUUUAGUUUUUUACCCCUUUUAUUGGGCGUUUUGAAUGCAAAUUCAAAUUAGUCGAAUCUAACAAAUUUCAAUGUGACAUGUAAAUGAAAAUUGGAUGAGUAGUCUUUAGCCCUCUUUAGUAACAUUUCUCAAUGCAAGCUGUUAGUAAACAGAACAAAUUGAUUUUAUUAAAGAAAGGCCAAGAAUUCAGUUUACAAUUCUUCUAAUUCUGCUAAAGACUAUAAGCAUAACUAAUCUGCCAUGUUUUCACAAUUGAGCAAAAGAUGGUCUGGAAUGUUAGCGGCCAAAUGGAAGUACAUAUACGGCCUGCUAAAACCCAUCGAAAAAGACCAAGCAGGAAUUUUGAGACAUAAACGUGUGUACCACCAUCGAUUACAAUAAUGAAACUAUAAAGUACCUGUUCUUUUCUAAGAACUAGAAAAGACACAUGUUUCAGCUC